Molecule: transfer RNA, 49 nt
Filed under: Porphyromonadaceae bacterium
Lineage: Bacteria; Pseudomonadati; Bacteroidota; Bacteroidia; Bacteroidales; Porphyromonadaceae
Description: tRNA-Gly
Rfam family: tRNA
About the family: Transfer RNA (tRNA) molecules are approximately 80 nucleotides in length. Their secondary structure includes four short double-helical elements and three loops (D, anti-codon, and T loops).
Source: RNAcentral
GCGGCAAUAGCUCAGUCGGUAGAGCAUUAGCUUCCCAAGCUGAGGGUCG